RNAcentral lists this ribosomal RNA (482 nucleotides) under uncultured bacterium. RNAcentral's name for it is "partial 16S ribosomal RNA". It matches the Rfam family "Bacterial small subunit ribosomal RNA", at positions 29 to 507 of the family's 1533-position model. The record is from RNAcentral.
AUUGAACGCUGGCGGCAUGCUUUACACAUGCAAGUCGAACGGUAACAGGCCGCAAGGUGCUGACGAGUGGCGAACGGGUGAGUAAUGCAUCGGAACGUGCCCAGUCGUGGGGGAUAACUACUCGAAAGAGUAGCUAAUACCGCAUACGAUCUAUGGAUGAAAGCGGGGGACCGUAAGGCCUCGCGCGAUUGGAGCGGCCGAUGUCAGAUUAGGUAGUUGGUGGGGUAAAGGCUCACCAAGCCAACGAUCUGUAGCUGGUCUGAGAGGACAACCAGCCACAGUGGGAAUGAGAGACGGUGCAGGCGAGUAAGGGAGGCAGAAGGGGGGAAGGUGGGACAAUGGGCGCAAGCCUGACGCAGCAAUGGAGCGUGCGGGAAGAGGUGCGUCGAAUCGUAAAAUGCAGUGAUGAGGGAAGAACAGGCGGCGACGGAUACCCGCGUGUCAGGACGGUAAGUAAUAAGAAAGACACGGCUAACUACGUG